CCUACGGGAGGCAGCAGUGGGGAAUUUUGGACAAUGGGCGCAAGCCUGAUCCAGCAAUGCCGCGUGAGUGAAGAAGGCCUUCGGGUUGUAAAGCUCUUUUGUCAGGGAAGAAACGGUGGGGGCUAAUAUCCUCCACUAAUGACGGUACCUGAAGAAUAAGCACCGGCUAACUACGUGCCAGCAGCCGCGGUAAUACGUAGGGUGCAAGCGUUAAUCGGAAUUACUGGGCGUAAAGCGUGCGCAGGCGGUUUUGUAAGUUUGUCGUGAAAUCCCCGGGCUCAACCUGGGAAUGGCGAUGAAGACUGCAAGGCUAGAAUCUGGCAGAGGGGGGUAGAAUUCCACGUGUAGCAGUGAAAUGCGUAGAGAUGUGGAGGAACACCGAUGGCGAAGGCAGCCCCCUGGGUCAAGAUUGACGCUCAUGCACGAAAGCGUGGGGAGCAAACAGGAUUAGAUACCCUGGUAGUCCACGCCCUAAACGAUGUCUACUAGUUGUCGGGUUUUAAUUAACUUGGUAACGCAGCUAACGCGUGAAGUAGACCGCCUGGGGAGUACGGUCGCAAGNUUAAAACUUAAAUGAAUUGACGGCUUGAGAGNGCGAGACGACGACGAGGGAGGAGG
This 618-nucleotide ribosomal RNA is filed under the name uncultured bacterium. RNAcentral describes it as "bacterial SSU rRNA". It matches the Rfam family "Bacterial small subunit ribosomal RNA", at positions 338 to 944 of the family's 1533-position model. The record is from RNAcentral.